RNAcentral lists this ribosomal RNA (235 nucleotides) under uncultured Staphylococcus sp. Its description in RNAcentral is "partial 16S ribosomal RNA". It matches the Rfam family "Bacterial small subunit ribosomal RNA", at positions 105 to 334 of the family's 1533-position model. Lineage: Bacteria; Bacillati; Bacillota; Bacilli; Caryophanales; Staphylococcaceae. The record is from RNAcentral.
GGUGAGUAACACGUGGAUAACCUACCUAUAAGACUGGGAUAACUUCGGGAAACCAGAGCUAAUACCGGAUAAUAUAUUGAACCGCAUGGUUCAAUAGUGAAAGACGGUUUUGCUGUCACUUAUAGAUGGAUCCGCGCCGCAUUAGCUAGUUGGUAAGGUAACGGCUUACCAAGGCAACGAUGCGUAGCCGACCUGAGAGGGUGAUCGGCCACACGGGAACUGAGACACGGUCCAG